This 1233-nucleotide long non-coding RNA is filed under the name Phascolarctos cinereus (koala). RNAcentral's name for it is "lncRNA (ENSPCIG00000032967.1)". Lineage: Eukaryota; Metazoa; Chordata; Mammalia; Diprotodontia; Phascolarctidae. The record is from RNAcentral.
GCUUGAGAGCUAAGGGACACUUCCGGAAGUGGGCUCUGGCCCGCGCUUUUCCCCUUCGGCGGUCGUUAGCUACUCCUUAGAACUACGAUUCCCAGAAUUCUAUGGACUAGCAGGGGCGCUUCUUUUCUAUUGACUUGCAGGGCCACACAGUUAGGGGGUUAUGAAGCAGGGAAGGUAGCGGUAAACGGGAUAAGAGGCUCGGUUGAGGCGGCAUUCUGGGAAAUGGAGUCUAGGAGCAGGAAUGUCUUGGGCUCGCGGACGUCUUGAAUGGGCAGUCCGGAAGCCCAGUAUGCGCAGGCGCACUAAACUGUCUGGCCUGGCGGGUGCGUCCUCUUCGCUGGCAACGCUGGUCGGAUUGCAGACCUCGGGGAAGGAUCGCUGGGCAUUCUUUACAGGGCCCUCGGUCGGACUAAGGCUUCUGGGGUCUUCGUGCUGACUUCAGCCUGUCUCUGCCCACAGAGUCUCCAGGAACCCACCCUGGGACUCGAGAGGGUGGGCUUCCCACGAGGGAGACAGAAAUUGGAGCCCCAGGGCCACCAUUCCUGCUUAAGGGACAUUGCUCCUGAGCCCCCCAGAUCCCAGCUCACCAGGAUCCUCUCAGGCUCCUGGGAGUGAAAGUGGAGGAGAAUUCCCCCCCACCCCAGGGAGUAGGAAUCCAGUCUAGCGGGAGACAAACCUGACCAGAGAUCUCUCAACCAGAGCUUCAGGGCUGAGGCUGGAGAUUGAUACAGAGGAACAGAUCCUGGGACUGCUGGCGCCUUUGCAAUUCCUGACCAUCUCUAAGGCAGUGAGGAAGGGCUAACCAUGGAGGAUUUGACCCAAAUGAUUGGAGAGAGAGCUCUGCCUUCUCAGGAUGAGAAUCACCCAGAGGAGGAGAUGGCUGCUGUGGUCUUGCCAGCUGGGCCCCAGGUGAGUCAGACUCAAUUCGUCUUCCUUAAACACCAUUUUCACUCUCAGCAGAUACCAGUCCUUCCCUCAUUCUGCAGCUUUGUGGCCCAGCCCCCUCUGCCCUCUCCUUGCAUCCUGGGCUGUGGGUUACUGAGUCCAGCUACCUUUUUUCCACUUCUUUUCUCCCUCAUCUUUUGUGCAUUAUUUGAUACUUGAAGCUCCUCACUAAGUUAGCCUAAGAGAUGCCGCUCUUUAGAUUCUCCUACCUUUUGGACAAUUCCCUCCAUCUCCUUAUUGUGUUCAUGGCUCUUCAUGGGGGGCGAGCCUCAAGAGUCUCUCCUGGAC